GACGUAGGGCGCGAGCGUUGUCCGGACUUAUUGGGCGUAAAGAGCUCGUAGGCGGCUUGUCGCGUCGACCGUGAAAACUUGGGGCUCAACCCCAAGCCUGCGGUCGAUACGGGCAGGCUCGAGUUCGGUAGGGGAGACUGGAAUUCCUGGUGUAGCGGUGAAAUGCGCAGAUAUCAGGAGGAACACCCGUGGCGAAAGCGGCUCUCUGGGACGGUACUGACGCUGAGACGCGAAAGCGUGGGGAGCGAACAGG
This 253-nucleotide ribosomal RNA is filed under the name uncultured bacterium. RNAcentral describes it as "partial 16S ribosomal RNA". It matches the Rfam family "Bacterial small subunit ribosomal RNA", at positions 524 to 776 of the family's 1533-position model. The record is from RNAcentral.